UUCUAUGGGUGUGUUUUCUCCGCUAAUCACAUCGAUGUGAGUGGUAAAGAAAUCACACCGAUUGGAUAGAUGAAGUGUAAGAUUUACACCUUUUUGUAAGGUAUGGGUAGCAUUGUUUAAAAAUAAUUGUUAUAAUUUACGUCUGCGUCAUUUGUAGCAAUGAGAUAUUGGAAUCGAUAUGAUCGGCACUAUUUAACUUUUGUGUGGGUGUGAACACUAGGUUGAGCGACUUUCAAUGUUGUCGGAAUUGAUCGCCAGUUUUAAUUUAGCUCAGGGUAGUAUAGCGAUCGACCGUAGGUGGAGUCCGAUUGAGUUGACUGAGGACAUGCAUAAGCUUCUCCUAUGCUCUACUCCACUCUCUACCUCACCUUGCAUGCCGACAAGGAAAUCCUCUCCACAUGGAGGAAUUCUACACUAUCACACUUGCACUACGUCAUCAAUAACAAGUCAAUCAAAUUCCUUCUUUUCAAACAAAAGUACAAUAAAAAUAUUUUUUUUACAAUCAUGAUGGGACAUAUACCCCUAAAAGAAAAUAUUUGAUUGGUUUGUUACGCCACGUCACCAACAUACCCGUUGCAUUAUAGAAUUUUUCCUCCACAUGCACUUUUCCUCUAUCUACUCUCUCACUUUCUCUCUCUCUCUCUUCCUCCAUACUCUUUUUUUUUUCCCUCCUAGCACUCUAUAUAUCCUUCUCUACCAUAGCUCUCAUUCUACCUCCCUCACCUUCUCCAUCCAUUUUCGUUGUGGAACUAAGCCUUCUUCAUUCCAAACUCCAACGAGGAACAAAGACUAGUGAAUUUGCGGCAUGAAGGUCGGUAUCGAGACCUAUUCCCAUUUUCUAACUUUGAAAGUUUGAAAAUCAAGUACAACCUCAUGUGUCACGCCCCACACCCCGCCUAUUUGGUCGGGUUCGGGUACGCCGACAGACCGCCGAACGGAUAGAGUUUUUCCUGUACGUCCUAGGCGUCGCAAUCAAAACAAUACAAGUGAUUCCAACCAGAAACAAUAUUCAAUCAUAGAUUGUAAAUGGAAAGGUAUCAACAACAUAACACAUCCUAUGUUAUUACAUACAUUCACAUUAGAUUCAUUUUUACAUCACAUUCAACUUCCAAAUACAAUUAAGUUAUUACAAUUAAUAUUACAAAUUUGAUACAUUGUGUUCCUUUCCCUUUCCUA
RNAcentral lists this long non-coding RNA (1176 nucleotides) under Ananas comosus (pineapple). RNAcentral's name for it is "long non-coding RNA (ACOM_LNC032552)". The record is from RNAcentral. Lineage: Eukaryota; Viridiplantae; Streptophyta; Magnoliopsida; Poales; Bromeliaceae.